GGCAGCCGCGGCGGGCCGGGCGCGCACUCUCGGGAUGGAGGGCGAGCGCCUGGCAUCUCCGGCGCGCUCCUCCGGCCUCCCGGCUGGGGGCGCCGGUGGGGAAAGCCCGGGGGUCGACGCCCCCCUCCUGGGCAGCAGCGGCUCCUCCACCCUGCUCCAGGCCGAGGUGCUGGAUCUGGACGAGGACGAGGACGACCUGGAGGUGUUCAGUAAGGAUGCCUCGUUGAUGGACAUGAAUUCCUUCAGCCCUAUGAUGCCAACGUCCCCUCUAUCAAUGAUUAACCAAAUCAAGUUUGAAGAUGAGCCAGAUUUGAAAGAUCUUUUCAUUACAGUUGAUGAACCUGAAAGCCAUGUUACCACAAUUGAAACUUUCAUUACUUACAGGAUUAUUACUAAGACAUCUCGUGGGGAAUUUGACUCCAGCGAAUUUGAAGUUAGGAGACGUUAUCAAGAUUUCCUUUGGUUGAAAGGAAAACUUGAAGAAGCACACCCCACUCUGAUUAUUCCACCAUUGCCUGAGAAGUUUAUCGUGAAAGGUAUGGUGGAACGCUUUAAUGAUGACUUCAUUGAAACACGAAGGAAGGCGCUACAUAAGUUCCUGAACCGAAUUGCUGAUCACCCGACUCUAACAUUUAAUGAAGACUUCAAAGUAUUUCUUACUGCACAAGCUUGGGAGCUCUCUUCUCACAAGAAACAAGGGCCUGGAUUACUCAGCAGGAUGGGGCAGACAGUCAGAGCCGUUGCACUGUCAAUGAGAGGAGUAAAAAGCCGCCCAGAAGAGUUCAUGGAAAUGAAUAACUUUAUUGAAGUUUUUAGCCAGAAAAUAAAUUUGAUAGACAAAAUAUCUCAGAGAAUUUACAAGGAAGAAAGGGAAUAUUCUGAUGAAAUGAAAGAAUAUGGCCCAAUUCAUAUUCUGUGGUCAGCGUCAGAAGAAGAUCUGGUUGAUACUCUAAAAGGGAUUGCCAGCUGCAUUGACAAAUGCUCUAAGGCCACUGAAAAACGGAUGUCUGGACUCUCAGAGGCCCUGCUUCCUGUAGUACAUGAGUAUGUGCUUUAUAGUGAAAUGUUAAUGGGUGUUAUGAAAAGGAGAGACCAAAUACAAGCAGAACUGGAUUCCAAAGUGGAAGCUUUGACCUAUAAAAAGGCAGAUACUGAUCUGCUUACAGAAGAGAUUGGAAAACUUGAAGAUAAAGUUGAAUGCGCUAAUAAUGCCCUGAAAGCAGACUGGGAAAGAUGGAGACAUAAUAUGCAAAAUGAUAUCAAGUCAGCAUUUACAGAUAUGGCUGAGGAGAAUAUCCAGUAUUAUGAACAGAUAAGAAACCGAGGCCUGGAGAAAUCAAACAGCUUAUAUGAUCUCACGUGACCAUCAGUGUGAUUCACAUCAAAGGCAACCUGAUGCUCAGACUCUUUCUAAACAAAUUUACUGGGAGAUCCAGUGCAUAGACUCAGGUCAAUAUUCAAUUUGUCUACUAAGCAAUUAACAUGGAGUAGGCAUUGCAAUAGGCAGAGGACACUGGGGUCCUAAUGGAAUCCAGAGCCACAGGCAGAAGGAGUCUAGUUCCCUGAAUCACCGCAUAAAGGAAAGAUACACCUGCCAAACAGGAACAGCCACCUUGGACUUUUGCUUGACCUCACAGUACAUAAAGGUAUUGAGAUCUGCAGCAAAGACUCAGUUUCACUUGAACUCAAUGUUUUCCAGCACAAUGGCAUGAAACUCCAGCAUUUCAUGAGUCAUACAAGUAAAUGUUAGCAAAAGAAGAAAUUUAGGAGAAGCAGAGAAAUGAAAGAAAAUGGAACUCAAUAAAAUGUUAAUGCACAUAAACUCUCCUUCCAACCAUCAUGGCCCAGCAUG
Molecule: RNA transcript, 1852 nt
Organism: Prionailurus viverrinus (fishing cat)
Lineage: Eukaryota; Metazoa; Chordata; Mammalia; Carnivora; Felidae
Gene: SNX7
Gene name: sorting nexin 7
Exons: 13
Source: RefSeq, a predicted model, not a curated record